GACGAACGCUGGCGGCGUGCUUAACACAUGCAAGUCGAACGGAAAGACCCUGCUUUUGUUUCUUUCUCGUUUGGCGAACGCGUGAGUGACACGUGAGUAUCCUCCCCUUGACUUUGUGAUAACUUCUGGAAACUCGGUCGCAUACCGGAUAUAAUCUCCUGCUGCAUGUUGUUGAUUGGAAAAUUUCGGCGUUUGUGUAUGGACUCGCGGCUUAUCAGCUUGUUUGUGUGGUAGUUACUUACCAAGGCUUUGACGGGUAGCCUGCCUGAGAGGGUGAACGGCCACAUUGGGACUGAGAUACGGACCAGACGCCUACGGGAGGCAGCAGUGGGGAAUAUUGCACAAUGGGCGGAAGCCUGAUGCAGAAACGCCGCGUGCGGGAUGACGGCCUUUGGGUUGUAAACAGAUGUCGAAUGUGACGAAGAGUGCGUGACGGUAAUGGGUAAAGAAGCAACGGCUAACUACGUG
RNAcentral lists this ribosomal RNA (468 nucleotides) under uncultured bacterium. Its description in RNAcentral is "partial 16S ribosomal RNA". It matches the Rfam family "Bacterial small subunit ribosomal RNA", at positions 28 to 507 of the family's 1533-position model. The record is from RNAcentral.